GACGAACGCUGGCGGCGUGCUUAACACAUGCAAGUCGAACGGAACCGUCCUGCUUUUGGGGGGUGCUCGAGUGGCGAACGGGUGAGUAACACGUGAGUAACCUGUCCUUGACUUAGGGAUAACUUCAGGAAACUGGGGCUAAUACCACAUAGGAGCUCCUGCUGCUGGGUGGGGGUUGGAAAGUUUCGCUGGUUGGGGAUGUACUCGCCGCCCGUCAGCUUGUUGGUUGGGUAGUGGCUUACCAAGGCCUGGCCCGGUAGCCGUCCUGAGAGGGGGACCGGCCAAGUUGGGACUGAGCUAAGGCACAGACUACUACGGGAGGCAGCAGAGGAGAAUAUUGCACAGGGGGCGGGAGCAUGGUGCAACAACGCCGCGUGCGGGAUGACGGGCUGCGGUCUGUAAUCCGAUUUCGCUUGUGACGAGGCGUGAGUGACGGUAAUGGGUAAAGAAGCACCGGCUAACUACGUG
Molecule: ribosomal RNA, 468 nt
Filed under: uncultured bacterium
Lineage: Bacteria
Description: partial 16S ribosomal RNA
Rfam family: Bacterial small subunit ribosomal RNA
Source: RNAcentral